CCUAUUGGACCCGGGGGCGGUACCCGGCGCCUCCACCAGAACACAAGAUGCUUCGGAAGCAAGUUGUGUUGUGGCGGGGGCGAAAUAGGAUCGACAAGGGUGUAAAGAUCGCUCUUUUGCUCGGCAUGAUACCACCGUUAUCGGGUCAAUUGAGUAGUUGCAAAUGACAACAAAGCUCAGGGUUACGCUCUCGCUGCCUAAUGGCGGUGCGGGAAACCCACUCUAAAGCCCUUAGGGUUAGCACCUUAAGGCGGGGUUCGGAGGCACCUGGCAACAGAAGCCUCCACUUUCC
Molecule: transfer-messenger RNA, 292 nt
Filed under: compost metagenome
Description: transfer-messenger RNA, SsrA
Rfam family: Alphaproteobacteria transfer-messenger RNA
About the family: Bacterial tmRNA, also known as 10Sa RNA or SsrA, is named for its dual tRNA and mRNA-like properties. Its role is to liberate the mRNA from a stalled ribosome.
Source: RNAcentral